RNAcentral lists this ribosomal RNA (253 nucleotides) under uncultured bacterium. RNAcentral's name for it is "partial 16S ribosomal RNA". It matches the Rfam family "Bacterial small subunit ribosomal RNA", at positions 524 to 776 of the family's 1533-position model. The record is from RNAcentral.
UACGGAGGGUGCAAGCGUUAUCCGGAUUUAUUGGGUUUAAAGGGUCCGUAGGCGGACUGAUAAGUCAGUGGUGAAAUCCUGCAGCUUAACUGUAGAACUGCCAUUGAUACUGUCAGUCUUGAAUAUGGUUGAAGUGGGCGGAAUAUGACAUGUAGCGGUGAAAUGCUUAGAUAUGUCAUAGAACACCGAUAGCGAAGGCAGCUCACUAAGCCAUGAUUGACGCUGAUGGACGAAAGCGUGGGUAGCGAACAGG